CCAAUCACACAGCGUGAAAGUCCGCCGCACGUUAGUUAACGUGGGUACUGUCGUUGAGAGGGAAGCUAGUUCUGGCCAGAAAUCAUUUUGUUUCUCAGGUUUCCUUUGUUUUACUUAACCGACUCGGACUUGGCAAAUAUGGACACCACAGACAUAAUAAGAAAAGAACACAGGAGAGAAGAAUAUCCGGUCAGCUCCCUGCAGAAGUUCAAUGUGAAAAUAGCUAAAGAGGCGUGCCUGACAAGUACAAGCAGGAGAGGACAGACGCGAGACUGCCAGCAAAAAUCGUCUUUCUUGGUUCCUUCCACAGAAGCUGGAGGAACUAUAAGGCAGAAGAUCUCAUACAUGAACCUACGCAGCAUCAGGGACUUCACAGAGUUUGGCAAAUAACUAGAUGGAGGUGUUUCUGGCUCUGGAGCUGUGGAGUCUGUAUCUGUGACUGUGGGUC
Long non-coding RNA from Micropterus dolomieu (smallmouth bass), 448 nucleotides. RefSeq lists it as uncharacterized. Lineage: Eukaryota; Metazoa; Chordata; Actinopteri; Centrarchiformes; Centrarchidae. The transcript has 3 exons. The record is from RefSeq and is a predicted model, not a curated record.